AUUGAACGCUGGCGGCAGGCCUAACACAUGCCAGUCGAACGGUAACAGGAAGCAGCUUGCUGCUUUGCUGACGAGUGGCGGACGGGUGAGUAAUGUCUGGGAAACUGCCCGAUGGAGGGGGAUAACUACUGGAAACGGUAGCUAAUACCGCAUAACGUCGCAAGACCAAAGAGGGGGACCUUAGGGCCUCUUGCCAUCGGAUGUGCCCAGAUGGGAUUAGCUAGUAGGUGGGGUAACGGCUCACCUAGGCGACGAUCCCUAGCUGGUCUGAGAGGAUGACCAGCCACACUGGAACUGAGACACGGUCCAGACUCCUACGGGAGGCAGCAGUGGGGAAUAUUGCACAAUGGGCGCAAGCCUGAUGCAGCCAUGCCGCGUGUAUGAAGAAGGCCUUCGGGUUGUAAAGUACUUUCAGCGGGGAGGAAGGGAGUAAAGUUAAUACCUUUGCUCAUUGACGGUACCCGCAGAAGAAGCACCGGCUAACUCCGUG
RNAcentral lists this ribosomal RNA (490 nucleotides) under uncultured bacterium. RNAcentral's name for it is "partial 16S ribosomal RNA". It matches the Rfam family "Bacterial small subunit ribosomal RNA", at positions 30 to 507 of the family's 1533-position model. The record is from RNAcentral.